RNAcentral lists this ribosomal RNA (253 nucleotides) under uncultured bacterium. Its description in RNAcentral is "partial 16S ribosomal RNA". It matches the Rfam family "Bacterial small subunit ribosomal RNA", at positions 524 to 776 of the family's 1533-position model. The record is from RNAcentral.
UACGGAGGGAGCUAGCGUUGUUCGGAAUUACUGGGCGUAAAGCGCACGUAGGCGGCUUUGUAAGUUAGAGGUGAAAGCCUGGAGCUCAACUCCAGAAUUGCCUUUAAGACUGCAUCGCUUGAAUCCGGGAGAGGUGAGUGGAAUUCCGAGUGUAGAGGUGAAAUUCGUAGAUAUUCGCAAGAACACCAGUGGCGAAGGCGGCCAACUGGCUCGACACUGACGCUGAGGCGCGAAAGCGUGGGGAGCAAACAGG